This 511-nucleotide ribosomal RNA is filed under the name Amblyodipsas polylepis. Its description in RNAcentral is "partial 16S ribosomal RNA". It matches the Rfam family "Bacterial large subunit ribosomal RNA", at positions 1816 to 2597 of the family's 2925-position model. The record is from RNAcentral. Lineage: Eukaryota; Metazoa; Chordata; Lepidosauria; Squamata; Lamprophiidae.
AACCUUUAGCCAAACAAGUAUUAAAGGCAACGCCUGCCCAGUGAACAAUUAAACGGCCGCGGUACCCUAACCGUGCAAAGGUAGCGUAAUCACUUGUCUAUUAAUUGUAGACCCGUAUGAAAGGCAAAAUGAGGGCCUAACUGUCUCUUAUAAUAAAUCAAUUAAACUGAUCUCCCAGUACAAAAGCUGGAAUACCAACAUAAGACCAGAAGACCCUGUGAAGCUUAAACUAAACUAUUAAAACACAUAAUAACUACUUUCGGUUGGGGCGACCUUGGAAAAAAAAAGAACUUCCAAAAAUACACGGAUUAACCCGAAUAACACAGGCCAACAAGCCAAACCAAUAGACCCAGCAAAGCUGAUAAUUGAACCAAGUUACUCCAGGGAUAACAGCGCUAUCUUCCUCAAGAGCCCAUAUCAAAAGGAAGGUUUACGACCUCGAUGUUGGAUCAGGACAUCCUAAUGGUGCAGCCGCUAUUAAGGGUUCGUUUGUUCAACGAUUAACAGUCCC